Molecule: ribosomal RNA, 444 nt
Filed under: Triticum aestivum (bread wheat)
Lineage: Eukaryota; Viridiplantae; Streptophyta; Magnoliopsida; Poales; Poaceae
Description: partial small subunit ribosomal RNA
Source: RNAcentral
AUGGAGAACUCCAAGGAGUUUGCUGACAAGCUAUUCGGGAUAUGUCGAGGCAGAGGAACAUUGAGCCGGAUGAAGGCAUUAACAAGGAUCGGCUCAGAGAGGUGGAACAUGAACAUUGAUGGGAUGCUCACAGAAGAUGAGCAUCCCAUGGUGGCUACGCAAAUGAUCACAGAGAAGACUACCGCUGGGCCUUUUGAUCGACCACGCGAUUCAAAAAGCUCUUUAGUGCAGUUUGCAACAACAAAAAUCAGAGGAUUGGUCGUUUUUCUUGCAAGGUAUUCUGAAGAAUUUAAAUCAGCGGCAAUGAGUGGCGAUCAUGAAGCAGGAAAAGUUCUUGCGAGGUAUUCUGAAUAUUCUGCAGGUGUUGUGCAGGUGUUGAGGAGGCCGAAGCAAAAGCAGCCCUCAUUGGGUUGCAUGCUCUCAAGGAUCUACAAGGCCCCGUGA